Non-coding RNA from Dromiciops gliroides (monito del monte), 72 nucleotides. The record is from the annotation of a RefSeq genome assembly. Lineage: Eukaryota; Metazoa; Chordata; Mammalia; Microbiotheria; Microbiotheriidae.
GGGGAUGUAGCUCAGUGGUAGAGCGCACGCUUUGUAUGUGUGAGGUCCCGAGUUCAAUCCCCGCUAUUUCCA